AGACCCGAAACCCGGUGAUCUAGCCAUGGGCAGGUUGAAGGUUGGGUAACACUAACUGGAGGACCGAACCGACUAAUGUUGAAAAAUUAGCGGAUGACCUGUGGCUGGGGGUGAAAGGCCAAUCAAACCGGGAGAUAGCUGGUUCUCCCCGAAAGCUAUUUAGGUAGCGCCUCGUGAAUUCAUCUCCGGGGGUAGAGCACUGUUUCGGCUAGGGGGCCAUCCCGGCUUACCAACCCGAUGCAAACUGCGAAUACCGGAGAAUGUUAUCACGGGAGACACACGGCGGGUGCUAACGUCCGUCGUGAAGAGGGAAACAACCCAGACCGCCAGCUAAGGUCCCAAAGUCAUGGUUAAGUGGGAAACGAUGUGGGAAGGCCCAGACAGCCAGGAUGUUGGCUUAGAAGCAGCCAUCAUUUAAAGAAAGCGUAAUAGCUCACUGGUCGAGUCGGCCUGCGCGGAAGAUGUAACGGGGCUAAACCAUGCACCGAAGCUGCGGCAGCGACACUCAGGUGUCGUUGGGUAGGGGAGCGUUCUGUAAGCCUGCGAAGGUGGCCUGUGAGGGUUGCUGGAGGUAUCAGAAGUGCGAAUGCUGACAUAAGUAACGAUAAAGCGGGUGAAAAGCCCGCUCGCCGGAAGACCAAGGGUUCCUGUCCAACGUUAAUCGGGGCAGGGUGAGUCGACCCCUAAGGCGAGGCCGAAAGGCGUAGUCGAUGGGAAACGGGUUAAUAUUCCCGUACUUGGUGUUACUGCGAAGGGGGGACGGAGAAGGCUAUGUUGGCCGGGCGACGGUUGUCCCGGUUUAAGCGUGUAGGUGUGUGUUCCAGGUAAAUCCGGUUCACUUUAACACUGAGGCGUGACGACGAGGCACUACGGUGCUGAAGCAACAAAUGCCCUGCUUCCAGGAAAAGCCUCUAAGCAUCAGGUAACAUCAAAUCGUACCCCAAACCGACACAGGUGGUCAGGUAGAGAAUACCAAGGCGCUUGAGAGAACUCGGGUGAAGGAACUAGGCAAAAUGGUGCCGUAACU
Molecule: ribosomal RNA, 1027 nt
Filed under: Salmonella enterica
Lineage: Bacteria; Pseudomonadati; Pseudomonadota; Gammaproteobacteria; Enterobacterales; Enterobacteriaceae
Also listed under: 1 other name
Description: partial 23S ribosomal RNA
Rfam family: Bacterial large subunit ribosomal RNA
Source: RNAcentral